ACCCAAACAAAAAAAAACAACCCUGCAAAACAAGAAAGGUUUAUUAACUGGAAAAUGCAGCUUAACAAUUAAUCAUUGAGCCAAAGUUAGUAAUGGAGAAACUAAAGCUUAUCAACCCAAAAUGAAUAUUUUUUUUCGGACUCGCAUAUCUAGUGAACAUAAAAUUUGCAUUCAGGCCAUGAGAAGCGACUUGUCAACACCUAAAUCAAGAACAAAGAUCGAGGCACAAAUAUUGCUUAUAUUCCAACAAAUCCUUGAACACAUUUUUAUGCAAACUUUUCUUCCUUUUUACUAAUCCAUUAAUUUAUCUCUAUCAAAUCAAAAGUUGCAAAUAUUAGCGCUUCAUUUCACCAGUCAGUGAACUUUGGCUCCUAUAACAACACCAUUCUUAAACUUUAAUUUGUAUCUUAAAACCCCCCUAACUUCAAUUUAGUUCACAUAAAAAUACUCUUACCAGAGACCAGUGUUAUCAAGGCGAAA
This 480-nucleotide unclassified non-coding RNA is filed under the name Hevea brasiliensis (rubber tree). Lineage: Eukaryota; Viridiplantae; Streptophyta; Magnoliopsida; Malpighiales; Euphorbiaceae. The record is from RNAcentral.